CCUACGGGUGGCAGCAGUGGGGAAUAUUGCACAAUGGGGGAAACCCUGAUGCAGCGACGCCGCGUGGGGGAAGAAGGCCCUCGGAGUGUAAACUCCUUUUGGCAGGGAAGAAAAUGACGGUACCUGACGAAGAAGCCCCGGCUAACUACGUGCCAGCAGCCGCGGUAAUACGUCGGGGGCCAGCGUUAUCCGGAUUUCCUGGGUGUAAAGGGGGCGCAGGCGGGUGAGCAAGUCAGGAGUGAAAGCCUAGGGCUUAACCCCGGGACGGCGUUUGAAACUGCGUGGCUAGAGUGAGGGAGAGGUAGGCGGAAUGCUUGGUGUAGCGGUGAAAUGCGUAGAUAUCAGGAGGAACACCGGUGGCGAAGGCGGCCUGCUGGA
Molecule: ribosomal RNA, 378 nt
Filed under: uncultured bacterium
Lineage: Bacteria
Description: partial 16S ribosomal RNA
Rfam family: Bacterial small subunit ribosomal RNA
Source: RNAcentral